UACGAAGGGGGCUAGCGUUGUUCGGAAUCACUGGGCGUAAAGGGCGCGUAGGCGGCUUUAUAAGUCGGGGGUGAAAGCCUGUGGCUCAACCACAGAAUUGCCUUCGAUACUGUAGAGCUUGAGACCGGAAGAGGUAAGUGGAACUGCGAGUGUAGAGGUGAAAUUCGUAGAUAUUCGCAAGAACACCAGUGGCGAAGGCGGCUUACUGGUCCGGUUCUGACGCUGAGACGCGAAAGCGUGGGGAGCGAACAGG
RNAcentral lists this ribosomal RNA (253 nucleotides) under uncultured bacterium. RNAcentral describes it as "partial 16S ribosomal RNA". It matches the Rfam family "Bacterial small subunit ribosomal RNA", at positions 524 to 776 of the family's 1533-position model. The record is from RNAcentral.